Long non-coding RNA from Chenopodium quinoa (quinoa), 2533 nucleotides. RefSeq lists it as uncharacterized. The record is from RefSeq and is a predicted model, not a curated record. Lineage: Eukaryota; Viridiplantae; Streptophyta; Magnoliopsida; Caryophyllales; Amaranthaceae. The transcript has 7 exons.
UACCACAACUUUGUUAAACCGUUUACUGUUGGUAUACUAAGGCAUUUGUCUAAACCUUAAAACAACACAAUUAAAUCUCAAUUCCCUAAAAGAACACAAUUGAGAAGUCUCACAACAGAGGAAAAAAAAACAAUUUGACAUCUUACAUUGAACCAAAAUCACAAUUGCAUUCACUCCAAAAUACAAAUUCGCUUUUCAAAUUGAAUCAAAUGUCCCGGUUUGAGUACAAAAUAUUGUGGGUCGAAGCUUAUCAAUGCCCAUUCUAUGUCUCUAAUCUUUCAGAUGUACGAUUUUCCAAAUCCAGUACGAAUCCAGGUAGGCCCUACUACAAGUGCAGGAAAUGCAACUCCUUCAGAUGGGUAGAAGAGGAAAACAUAAUAUGGUUUAUUGUUUUGAUCCCGACGCGACUCGUUGAGGCUGGGCUAGGUCCUAUAGCAAACUCGGUGGUGGAAAUUCGGGGGAAUUUAACUACUAUCAAACCCAUGCUGCUGUCAACGAUGUUCAUUGUUUUUGUUUUGAUGUGUUUUCGUAUUUAGAGAAUAUUAUAUGGAUUUAGAAAUAUGUACUAAAUUGCAGUUUUAAACAUUAUCUUCUGAAUUUGAAAGCGUAUGAUUGUGAAUUUAAGUAUUAUGAGAUUUUAUAUCAGUUGACAUUAUAUUGUUUGUGUUUCGGCUUAUUAUGUUGGUACUUGUUAAUCACUGUCUUAUUUGUUGUUAUACUGAUAACCAUUGUUGAUAUGCAUAGUUUGGUCAGAUGUAGAACAUACUUACUCAGGGACUCAAGGGUAUAAAUAGAAUGAACAUCUCUGUUUGGUUAUUUCUUUAUUUUUAGACAUUGGGAUAACGCGUGAAUCUGGGUUUUAGCUUCUUCGUUCCUCCCUCAUAUAACCUCGGUUCUUGCAGGCUCGCAUUCUGUUGGUGAAUUUACGAGAUAAGAUGAAGGCAGGCCCAAUUGGUGACCGGAAACACAAUCCGGGAAACCUCAGGAAAUUGAUGCUUCAAAACAGAGCCAUUGAGAAGCAAAGGCAGAGACAACUGAGACGCGAAGCAGCUGCUGCAAACAUCAACAAAGGCGGGGUAAUUGUUAAUUCAGCUGAAGAGUGUACACUGAAUUAUGGGUUGGACAAUAUCCAUAGUGUUCAACCAGAAGAUGGCAAUAACAAUGAAGGGAUCCCUCUUCUUAGACUAAUUGAUGAGUUUAAGUUGUUCAUCAACCACAAGAUGGAAACUCAAUGUACUGGAAAACAGGCUGCACAGAAUAAGGACAUUUUGAGUGAAGGGGAGCAGGUCCCGACACAAGAUGGUGUGGUGAGGAGUAUGAAGACUCAUUGGGAGAAGACUAAGAAGUAACCACAUUUGGUUUGUAAGGUUGAUGCUUUUUCUAAAUUGGUCAGCAAGUUUGAUGAGUCUAGGAGGGAGGCUGUGAAAUCUAUGGGGUUUGAUGGCUUGCUUGAUCUGAAAUUGACUCAUUUACCCUGUCAGUUUUGUUACUGGCUGAUGACGAGGAUUUGUGGUGAUAGGACAUUGUUGUUUGGCGAUGGGCAAUUACUGCCCUUAUGUCCAGAACAAAUACACUCUGUACUUGGUAUUCCUAUGGGUUCUAAGCCUGUUCCUAAGACUGUCGACGCCGGCAACACUGAAGUGGUGCGUAAGGUUCGUCAGGUUGCUGCUCGAUUUGGCGAUAGUAAAAGUGAUGGUAUCCUUGUCAGUGCAGCAGCUGAUGCUUUGCUGACCUUCAAGAAAGAUGAGGAAGACGAUAAGGUGCUGGAGUUGGUCACUGCACAACAAAAGGAAUACUUCAAGGACACGUUCCUAGUAGUUGCUCUUGGUCACUUAUUAUACACAACGACAAACGAAUUGAAUCUUGCAUCUUCUUUCCUUCCCUGCUAAAGUCUUGGUGGGAAAAAAAUGCGCAGUACGACUGGUGUUCUUUCAUAUUUUACUGGGUUCUUGAGACGGCAAAAGGGUUUCAAUCAUGUUUUCAAAAAAAUGGGUACCGCGCUGGUUGUGGUGGUUGUAUCCUGUUUCUGCUGGUCUGUUGUCGUUAUCUAAAUUCAAGUGUUCUACUUGGAUCAUUUGAAGCGUUUUCCUGUAAAAUGGGGUGUCUACCCAAGACUGGUUGUUUGGACCCAAGACAAAGUCAAAAAAAUGUUGUGUUGCAGGACAAGAAGGGCGAUGAUUUGUAUGGUGACAUGCUGUCACUGAAUAUUGCGUAUGAGGAGUAUCACCCAUUGAUUCCUAGAGAAUGUGACCACAAGACCACGGUAGAUCGAGUUGCUGAAAAGGUUAAGGGGCCAUUGUGAAUGAAGCUGAUGACCCAUUGAUCUGUUGGAAGAGACACUAUUAGAAGAGACCGUGUCUCCAUCUUUGUAAUUUAGGCAAUGCAUUCUCUUAAAUUGGUUGUUGUUGGUUUAACUUGAACACAUAUUGGUAUUUGAAUGGGACUCUAUCCCAGUUGGUUUAUGUAUGCCAUUUGUUGGUUGACAUAUUGAAACGAUGACCCCUGAAUGGUUUAUUGUACUAAAAAACAUACC